This 66-nucleotide transfer RNA is filed under the name Altica brevicollis. RNAcentral describes it as "tRNA-Trp". Lineage: Eukaryota; Metazoa; Arthropoda; Insecta; Coleoptera; Chrysomelidae. The record is from RNAcentral.
AAGGAUUUAGGUUAAGCAAACCUUUAACCUUCAAAGUUAAAAAUAGAGAAAAUUCUCUAAGCCUUA